RNAcentral lists this long non-coding RNA (782 nucleotides) under Selaginella moellendorffii. RNAcentral's name for it is "long non-coding RNA (SMOE_LNC002269)". Lineage: Eukaryota; Viridiplantae; Streptophyta; Lycopodiopsida; Selaginellales; Selaginellaceae. The record is from RNAcentral.
AAGAACUCUCCGGCUCGGUACGACGAUCGGACCUGCAAAUGGUAAGAACAUUUUCUUAAAGUUUGCAAUUAUGCGGGAGAGGAAGAGUACUAACCAGUGGACCACUUGCGACGUAUCGAAACCCGACGACUGACUCCCCGUAUUCUUUCCAGAAGUCGAACUUCUCCGGAGUUAUGUACUCUUUCACCGUGAGGUGCACAGGAGUUGGCUGUCGGGAAGAUCGUUCGUAAGCUAAGGUAAACAAGCAUACUCGUCACUUCAUUGCUAUCACUUACUUGUAAGUACUGGCCAAAGGUAACGAUGUCAACUCCCGCAGCUUUGAGAUCGUCCAGAGCUUGUUUGAUCUCGUCAUCCUUCUCGCCAAGCCCCAGCAUGAUCGACGACUUUGUAAUGAGGCCAUCUUUCGAUGCCUUGGCGAGUUUCAACACUCCCAAGCUCUGCUCAUACCUGCAUCAACAAUGCCCGCGCUCAUGGAUCCAGUAAGAAAGAACGGAAAAAAGGUAUGGAGUUUUCGUUUUCUUACCCGGCUCUUGGAUCACGAACUAUUCUUUGCAGCCGCUUCACAGUCUCGAUGUUGUGAGCGAAAACGUCCAGACCGCAAGUAGCCACCGUUGUCACGGCCUCCGGAUCGCCUCGAAAAUCCGACACCAAGCAUUCUACCAGAAUCUCGGGCUUAAGUUCCUGGAAGAACAAAACAAGAGGUCUUGUCUUUCUCCAAGCAAAAACAAACUUUCUUCUGAUACCUUGAGCGUUCUUACAGUCCGAGCAAAAUGGCCGCUGCC